Molecule: ribosomal RNA, 253 nt
Filed under: uncultured bacterium
Lineage: Bacteria
Description: partial 16S ribosomal RNA
Rfam family: Bacterial small subunit ribosomal RNA
Source: RNAcentral
UACGUAGGGACCAAGCGUUGUUCGGAUUUACUGGGCGUAAAGGGCGCGUAGGCGGCUUAACAAGUCACUUGUGAAAUCUCCGGGCUUAACUCGGAACGGCCAAGUGAAACUGUCAAGCUAGAGUGCAGAAGGGGCAAUCGGAAUUCUUGGUGUAGCGGUGAAAUGCGUAGAUAUCAGGAGGAACACCUGUGGUGUAGACAGCUUGCUGGACCAUUUCUGACACUGAGACACGAAAGCGUGGGUAGCAAACAGG